UUAAGCGACUAAGCGUACACGGUGGAUGCCCUGGCAGUCAGAGGCGAUGAAGGACGUGCUAAUCUGCGAUAAGCGUCGGUGAGGUGAUAUGAACCGUUAUAACCGGCGAUUUCCGAAUGGGGAAACCCAGUGUGUUUCGACACACUAUCAUUAACUGAAUCCAUAGGUUAAUGAGGCGAACCGGGGGAACUGAAACAUCUAAGUACCCCGAGGAAAAGAAAUCAACCGAGAUUCCCCCAGUAGCGGCGAGCGAACGGGGAGGAGCCCAGAGCCUGAAUCAGUGUGUGUGUUAGUGGAAGCGUCUGGAAAGGCGCGCGAUACAGGGUGACAGCCCCGUACACAAAAAUGCACAUAUUGUGAGCUCGAUGAGUAGGGCGGGACACGUGGUAUCCUGUCUGAAUAUGGGGGGACCAUCCUCCAAGGCUAAAUACUCCUGACUGACCGAUAGUGAACCAGUACCGUGAGGGAAAGGCGAAAAGAACCCCGGCGAGGGGAGUGAAAAAGAACCUGAAACCGUGUACGUACAAGCAGUGGGAGCCUCUUAAUGGGGUGACUGCGUACCUUUUGUAUAAUGGGUCAGCGACUUAUAUUCUGUAGCAAGGUUAACCGAAUAGGGGAGCCGAAGGGAAACCGAGUCUUAACUGGGCGUUAAGUUGCAGGGUAUAGACCCGAAACCCGGUGAUCUAGCCAUGGGCAGGUUGAAGGUUGGGUAACACUAACUGGAGGACCGAACCGACUAAUGUUGAAAAAUUAGCGGAUGACUUGUGGCUGGGGGUGAAAGGCCAAUCAAACCGGGAGAUAGCUGGUUCUCCCCGAAAGCUAUUUAGGUAGCGCCUCGUGAAUUCAUCUCCGGGGGUAGAGCACUGUUUCGGCAAGGGGGUCAUCCCGACUUACCAACCCGAUGCAAACUGCGAAUACCGGAGAAUGUUAUCACGGGAGACACACGGCGGGUGCUAACGUCCGUCGUGAAGAGGGAAACAACCCAGACCGCCAGCUAAGGUCCCAAAGUCAUGGUUAAGUGGGAAACGAUGUGGGAAGGCCCAGACAGCCAGGAUGUUGGCUUAGAAGCAGCCAUCAUUUAAAGAAAGCGUAAUAGCUCACUGGUCGAGUCGGCCUGCGCGGAAGAUGUAACGGGGCUAAACCAUGCACCGAAGCUGCGGCAGCGACGCUUAUGCGUUGUUGGGUAGGGGAGCGUUCUGUAAGCCUGUGAAGGUGGCCUGUGAGGGUUGCUGGAGGUAUCAGAAGUGCGAAUGCUGACAUAAGUAACGAUAAAGCGGGUGAAAAGCCCGCUCGCCGGAAGACCAAGGGUUCCUGUCCAACGUUAAUCGGGGCAGGGUGAGUCGACCCCUAAGGCGAGGCCGAAAGGCGUAGUCGAUGGGAAACAGGUUAAUAUUCCUGUACUUGGUGUUACUGCGAAGGGGGGACGGAGAAGGCUAUGUUGGCCGGGCGACGGUUGUCCCGGUUUAAGCGUGUAGGCUGGUUUUCCAGGCAAAUCCGGAAAACCAAGGCUGAGGCGUGAUGACGAGGCACUACGGUGCUGAAGCAACAAAUGCCCUGCUUCCAGGAAAAGCCUCUAAGCAUCAGGUAACAUCAAAUCGUACCCCAAACCGACACAGGUGGUCAGGUAGAGAAUACCAAGGCGCUUGAGAGAACUCGGGUGAAGGAACUAGGCAAAAUGGUGCCGUAACUUCGGGAGAAGGCACGCUGAUAUGUAGGUGAAGCGACUUGCUCGUGGAGCUGAAAUCAGUCGAAGAUACCAGCUGGCUGCAACUGUUUAUUAAAAACACAGCACUGUGCAAACACGAAAGUGGACGUAUACGGUGUGACGCCUGCCCGGUGCCGGAAGGUUAAUUGAUGGGGUUAGCGGUAACGCGAAGCUCUUGAUCGAAGCCCCGGUAAACGGCGGCCGUAACUAUAACGGUCCUAAGGUAGCGAAAUUCCUUGUCGGGUAAGUUCCGACCUGCACGAAUGGCGUAAUGAUGGCCAGGCUGUCUCCACCCGAGACUCAGUGAAAUUGAACUCGCUGUGAAGAUGCAGUGUACCCGCGGCAAGACGGAAAGACCCCGUGAACCUUUACUAUAGCUUGACACUGAACAUUGAGCCUUGAUGUGUAGGAUAGGUGGGAGGCUUUGAAGUGUGGACGCCAGUCUGCAUGGAGCCGACCUUGAAAUACCACCCUUUAAUGUUUGAUGUUCUAACGUUGGCCCGUAAUCCGGGUUGCGGACAGUGUCUGGUGGGUAGUUUGACUGGGGCGGUCUCCUCCUAAAGAGUAACGGAGGAGCACGAAGGUUGGCUAAUCCUGGUCGGACAUCAGGAGGUUAGUGCAAUGGCAUAAGCCAGCUUGACUGCGAGCGUGACGGCGCGAGCAGGUGCGAAAGCAGGUCAUAGUGAUCCGGUGGUUCUGAAUGGAAGGGCCAUCGCUCAACGGAUAAAAGGUACUCCGGGGAUAACAGGCUGAUACCGCCCAAGAGUUCAUAUCGACGGCGGUGUUUGGCACCUCGAUGUCGGCUCAUCACAUCCUGGGGCUGAAGUAGGUCCCAAGGGUAUGGCUGUUCGCCAUUUAAAGUGGUACGCGAGCUGGGUUUAGAACGUCGUGAGACAGUUCGGUCCCUAUCUGCCGUGGGCGCUGGAGAACUGAGGGGGGCUGCUCCUAGUACGAGAGGACCGGAGUGGACGCAUCACUGGUGUUCGGGUUGUCAUGCCAAUGGCACUGCCCGGUAGCUAAAUGCGGAAGAGAUAAGUGCUGAAAGCAUCUAAGCACGAAACUUGCCCCGAGAUGAGUUCUCCCUGAGACUUAGAGUCUCCUGAAGGAACGUUGAAGACGACGACGUUGAUAGGCCGGGUGUGUAAGCGCAGCGAUGCGUUGAGCUAACCGGUACUAAUGAACCGUGAGGCUUAACCUU
This 2903-nucleotide ribosomal RNA is filed under the name Escherichia coli. RNAcentral's name for it is "bacterial LSU rRNA". It matches the Rfam family "Bacterial large subunit ribosomal RNA". The record is from RNAcentral. Lineage: Bacteria; Pseudomonadati; Pseudomonadota; Gammaproteobacteria; Enterobacterales; Enterobacteriaceae.